GUUACGAAACAAUUAUCUUAAAUCGUAUAUUAAAAAGAAGGAUUGAAACUCAACGUUUCCCAGAUACAGACAUCCAACAGCUUCUUGACUUCUCUACCAGGUAAUACGUUUGAGAGUUAAAACUAUGCUUUAUUUUUAAGAUAAAUCCCUUCGUGCUAGAUUUCAUUUUUAGCAUGCAUAUUUCUUUGAUUUUCAAAUUGAAUGAUUUUUUAAUUUCAAAUAUUUAAAACAAUGAACAAUAAACAAAUUUUGGGGAUAUUUUGUUUCAUAUUGGUACAAGUUUUUUCUUUUCAAAGAAUUGCAUUUUUCAUCUUUUUUUAUUUUUAGUUUUACAGACCAAUAGACACAACAAUGGAUUGCCAGUCUACCGUUACUGUGAUUGUCUGUCUGCUAUUUACUAGUUUUGUCAUGCAAGAUAAUCCAAAGACACUAUGAUGGUACUGUGGAUUUCCAACGAAAGUGGGCAGAAUACGACAAAGGGUUUGGGAAUGUUGAAGGUGAAUAUUGGUUAGGAAACAAGCAUAUCCAUCAUAUGACAACUAAUGAGAAAUAUGAACUAAGGAUAGAUUUGACAGACAACAAAAAUAAGAAAAGAUACGCUGUGUACAAACAAUUCAGUAUUGGAGAUGCAGCUUCAAAAUAAAAACUAAGUGUUGGGAGUUAUAGGGGAAAUGCAGGUGAUUCGAUGACGUCUCAAAAUGGACUGUUGUUUUCCACCAUUGACCAAGACAAUGAUCAGAGCAGUGGUGACUGUGCAAAGGGAGGUGGGCCUUGGUGGUAUGGAAAUUGCACUUGGAGUGCACUCAACAAAGAGUUCAGUUCCAACCUAUAUUGGCACUUUUUCUCUAACCAUGUUGCCAAAACAUCUAUCAUGAUGAUAAGAAGAAUAU
Long non-coding RNA from Mytilus trossulus (common blue mussel), 890 nucleotides. RefSeq lists it as uncharacterized. The record is from RefSeq and is a predicted model, not a curated record. Lineage: Eukaryota; Metazoa; Mollusca; Bivalvia; Mytilida; Mytilidae. The transcript is spliced from 4 exons.